GAUGAACGCUGGCGGCGUGCCUAAUACAUGCAAGUCGAGCGAACAGUCGAGGAGCUUGCUCUUCUGACGUUAGCGGCGGACGGGUGAGUAACACGUGGAUAACCUACCUAUAAGACUGGGAUAACUUCGGGAAACCGGAGCUAAUACCGGAUAAUAUAUUGAACCGCAUGGUUCAAUAGUGAAAGACGGUUUUGCUGUCACUUAUAGAUGGAUCCGCGCCGCAUUAGCUAGUUGGUAAGGUAACGGCUUACCAAGGCAACGAUGCGUAGCCGACCUGAGAGGGUGAUCGGCCACACUGGAACUGAGACACGGUCCAGACUCCUACGGGAGGCAGCAGUAGGGAAUCUUCCGCAAUGGGCGAAAGCCUGACGGAGCAACGCCGCGUGAGUGAUGAAGGUCUUCGGAUCGUAAAACUCUGUUAUUAGGGAAGAACAAAUGUGUAAGUAACUAUGCACGUCUUGACGGUACCUAAUCAGAAAGCCACGGCUAACUACGUG
RNAcentral lists this ribosomal RNA (497 nucleotides) under uncultured bacterium. RNAcentral describes it as "partial 16S ribosomal RNA". It matches the Rfam family "Bacterial small subunit ribosomal RNA", at positions 28 to 507 of the family's 1533-position model. The record is from RNAcentral.